GAUGAACGCACAAGACGUGCCUAACACAUGCAAAUCGAAUGAAAACAAUAAUUAUUGUUUUCAUGGUGAACGGGUGAGUAAUACAUAAGAAUCAGCUUUUAGAUAAGGCAUAAAAGAGUAAUAUCUUGGUAAUUCCUUAUAUGCGCAGCAGUGCUUAAAAAGGGGAGUCCCGUCUAAAAACGAGCUUAUGCCUGAUUAGCUAGUUGGCGAGUUAAAAGCUCACCAAGGCGAAGAUCAGUAGCUGGCCUGAGAGGGCGGCCAGCCACAUUGGGACUGAGACACGGCCCAAACUCCUACGGGAGGCAGCAGUGGGGAAUCUUCUGCAAUGGGCGCAAGCCUGACAGAGCGGCGUCGUGUGAAGGAAGAAGGCCUGAAAUAGGUUGUAAACUUCUUUUACUGAGUAAUGAAUAAUGACAACGCAGUAAAAAAGUAUCGGCUAACUCCGU
This 446-nucleotide ribosomal RNA is filed under the name uncultured bacterium. RNAcentral describes it as "bacterial SSU rRNA". It matches the Rfam family "Bacterial small subunit ribosomal RNA", at positions 28 to 506 of the family's 1533-position model. The record is from RNAcentral.